CUCCUACUAAACACAAAUAAAAAUAUCAGACAAAAAUGUGAGAAGCAACUGCCUAGGAAUUCAGAAAAGGAAAAUAAAAUAAGGCAGUAUCAAGAGGAGUUCAAAACUUGAUGUAAAACCACAAUGGUGGCAGUAAUCUUGCCGGUGUUUUAUUGGUCAAUUUUUACAUUCUGUCUGUUUUGCUUCUUUACCUUCCAGGUUUUACUGCAAGGUGGGCCAAAUCAGGAAACAGCUCAGCAGAUAGAGACACAGGCCUUUAUGGACAGAGGACUGGAAGGAGAAGCCACUGCAAGCUGAACACAGCGAUCCUGCCUCUGCUCUAGGACACUGCCCGAGGUACACAAGUACUCUCCUACUCGAUUCAAAAGCUGCCACAGCCAGAUCUUAAAAGCCCUUUCCAGACUCAUGUUUAUGAAAACCAUCCAGCAUUCCUAGAUCAUGAGAAGCCCAUGGUGCACAGCUUAGAAAUCUGAUGUAGAAGAAUGCUACCUCCACCCCUGAGUUUGGGGACUCUAUAAGAAGAAAACCAUCCAUGCAUAAUUCAUACUUUGAAUCCCUGAACUCUUAAGCAGGUGGGGGGGUGGCCUAUGGCCUUCAUCAUGUGGUCACUAGUAGUGUUUUUUAAAAUAGGUCAUCUUAAUAUCUUAUAUUAACAAUGAAUUGUAGCCUAGAAUGCACAUCCUGGGGCCAAAUUCUACUAAUGCUACCAACGCAAGAUAAUGCAUACUACCCAGUAGAGCCAAUACUAUGUGAGGAGAAUUUAUUCAGCACUUAAGUGCCAACUGCUGUGUUAGGUUUUGAGGCCACAAUGACCAGGCAGACACACUUCCUUGCCUGCAGGAUUUUACAAUGCAAGAGGAGAGACAGAUACAAACAUGAUCUUUUUUUUUUUUUUUUUUUGUACCAGGGAUCAAACUCAGGAUCUUGCACUUGUGAGGCAGGCAGUGGCACCACUGAGCUAAAUCCCUGGCCACAAGAUUGUUUUUUAAACUUUGGAUUGUUCUGUUUUAUACUUCACCCAUGGCUAGAGGAAAAAGAG
Heterocephalus glaber (naked mole-rat) is the source of this 1039-nucleotide long non-coding RNA. Lineage: Eukaryota; Metazoa; Chordata; Mammalia; Rodentia; Bathyergidae. The record is from Ensembl.